This 253-nucleotide ribosomal RNA is filed under the name uncultured bacterium. RNAcentral describes it as "partial 16S ribosomal RNA". It matches the Rfam family "Bacterial small subunit ribosomal RNA", at positions 524 to 776 of the family's 1533-position model. The record is from RNAcentral.
UACGGAGGGGGCUAGCGUUGUUCGGAAUCACUGGGCGUAAAGCGCGCGUAGGCGGCUGUGUCAGUCAGGGGUGAAAUCCCGGAGCUCAACUGCGGAACUGCCUCUGAUACAGCACGUCUUGAGUCCGGAAGAGGUGAGUGGAAUUCCCAGUGUAGCGGUGAAAUGCGUAGAUAUUGGGAGGAACACCAGUGGCGAAGGCGGCUCACUGGACCGGUUCUGACGCUGAGGCGCGAAAGCGUGGGGAGCAAACGGG